Molecule: ribosomal RNA, 253 nt
Filed under: uncultured bacterium
Lineage: Bacteria
Description: partial 16S ribosomal RNA
Rfam family: Bacterial small subunit ribosomal RNA
Source: RNAcentral
UACGGAGGGGGCUAGCGUUGUCCGAAGUUACUGGGCGUAAAGCGCGCGUAGGCGGGUUGGUAAGUCCGCUGUGAAAGCCCGGAGCUUAACUCCGGAGGGUCGGUGGAUGCUGCCAGUCUUGAAGGUGCUAGGGGGAGAUGGAAUUACCGGUGUAGCGGUGAAAUGCGCAGAUAUCGGGAGGAACACCUAUGGCGAAGGCAGCUCGCUGGGACGUUACUGACGCUGAGACGCGAAAGCGUGGGGAGCAAACAGG